UCUCGAUUGGUCUAGUGGUCAGGAUACCUGCUUGUCAUCACACUACUGUCUAGUUCACAAUGUGGACACCCAGAAGUCAUGAAAAUCCGCAGGUGGCCGGGGUUCGAUUCCCCGAUCGAGAG
The sequence is a transfer RNA, 122 nucleotides long. It matches the Rfam family "tRNA". From Rfam's summary of the family: Transfer RNA (tRNA) molecules are approximately 80 nucleotides in length. Their secondary structure includes four short double-helical elements and three loops (D, anti-codon, and T loops). Further hydrogen bonds mediate the characteristic L-shaped molecular structure. tRNAs have two regions of fundamental functional importance: the anti-codon, which is responsible for specific mRNA codon recognition, and the 3' end, to which the tRNAs corresponding amino acid is attached (by aminoacyl-tRNA synthetases). tRNAs cope with the degeneracy of the genetic code in two manners: having more than one tRNA (with a specific anti-codon) for a particular amino acid; and 'wobble' base-pairing, i.e. permitting non-standard base-pairing at the 3rd anti-codon position. The record is from Rfam.